AGCACUUUGUGUGUGUAUUUGUCCAACAGGUAGACAAAGGCAUGAAAGACAGGUGCAAAAAUAAACCCUCCUUUGCAGCCCAGAACUCAUGGUUGAUAUGAGUUUUGAUACACAUAGGAAGGAAUAUG
Molecule: small nucleolar RNA, 128 nt
Organism: Nannospalax galili (Upper Galilee mountains blind mole rat)
Lineage: Eukaryota; Metazoa; Chordata; Mammalia; Rodentia; Spalacidae
Source: Ensembl